GACGAACGCUGGCGGCGUGCUUAACACAUGCAAGUCGAACGGAAAGGCCCUGCUUUUGUGGGGUGCUCGAGUGGCGAACGGGUGAGUAACACGUGAGUAACCUGCCCUUGACUUUGGGAUAACUUCAGGAAACUGGGGCUAAUACCGGAUAGGAGCUCCUGCUGCAUGUUGGGGGUUGGAAAGUUUCGGCGGUUGGGGCUGGACUCGCGGCUUAUCCGCUUGUUGGUGGGGUAGUUGCUUACCAAGGCUUUGACGGGUAGCCGGCCUGAGAGGGUGACCGGCCACAUUGGGACUGCGGUACGGACCAGACUCCUACGGGAGGCAGCAGUGGGGAAUAUUCCACAAUGGGCGGAAGCCUGAUGCAGCAACGCCGCGUGCGGGAUGACGGCCUUCGGGUUGUAAACCGCUUUCGCCUGUGACGAAGCGUGAGUGACGGUAAUGGGUAAAGAAGCACCGGCUAACUACGUG
Molecule: ribosomal RNA, 468 nt
Filed under: uncultured bacterium
Lineage: Bacteria
Description: partial 16S ribosomal RNA
Rfam family: Bacterial small subunit ribosomal RNA
Source: RNAcentral